GACGAACGCUGGCGGCGUGCUUAACACAUGCAAGUCGAACGGAAAGGCCCUGCUUUUGUGGGGUGCUCGAGUGGCGAACGGGUGAGUGACACGUGAGUAACCUGCCCUUGACUUUGGGAUAACUUCAGGAAACAGGGGCUAAUACCGGAUAGGAGCUCCUGCUGCAUGGUGGGGGUUGGAGAGUUUCGGCGGUUUGGGAUGGACUCGCGGCUUAUCCGCUUGUUGGUGGGGUAGGGGCAUACCAAGGGUUCGACGGGUAGCCGGCCUGGGAGGGUGACCGGCCACAAGGGGACUGAGAGAGGCAGCAGAAUCCAACGGGAGGCAGCGGGGGGGAAUAUUGCGCAGUGGGCGGAAGCCUGAGGCAGCAGCGUCGGGAGCGGGAUGACGGCUUUCGGGUUAUGAACCACUGUCGCCGGUGACGAAGCGUGAGUGACGGUAAUGGGUAAAGAAGCACCGGCUAACUACAUG
Molecule: ribosomal RNA, 468 nt
Filed under: uncultured bacterium
Lineage: Bacteria
Description: partial 16S ribosomal RNA
Rfam family: Bacterial small subunit ribosomal RNA
Source: RNAcentral